GCGAAGUGACGAAUGAAAUUCAUGCUCAAAUCACUGAUUUAUUAUGUGAUGUUAAAAUUGAAUCUCGACAGGUUCUGAUCGC
This is a small nucleolar RNA of Salvia splendens (bonfire salvia), 82 nucleotides long. RefSeq annotates it as small nucleolar RNA snoR14. The transcript has a single exon. The record is from RefSeq and is a predicted model, not a curated record. Lineage: Eukaryota; Viridiplantae; Streptophyta; Magnoliopsida; Lamiales; Lamiaceae.